RNAcentral lists this ribosomal RNA (384 nucleotides) under uncultured Bacteroidota bacterium. RNAcentral's name for it is "bacterial SSU rRNA". It matches the Rfam family "Bacterial small subunit ribosomal RNA", at positions 492 to 872 of the family's 1533-position model. The record is from RNAcentral. Lineage: Bacteria; Pseudomonadati; Bacteroidota.
ACCGGCUAACUCCGUGCCAGCAGCCGCGGUAAUACGGAGGGUCCNAGCGUUAUCCGGAAUCAUUGGGUUUAAAGGGUCCGUANGCGGGCCUGUAAGUCUAGGGCGUGNACAAGAUGUUGUGGCUCAACCAUAAAAUUGCCUUUGAUACUGCAGGUCUUGAGUCAUGGUGGGGUCGCCGGAACAUGUGGCGUAGCGGUGAAAUGCAUAGAUAUCACAUAGAACACCGAUCGCGAAGGCAGGUGGCCAACCAUGUACUGACGCUGAUGGACGAAAGCGUGGGUAGCGAACGGGAUUAGAUACCCCGGUAGUCCACGCCGUAAACGAUGGAUACUAGCUGUGGGGACUUCGGUCUCCGUGGCCAAGCGAAAGUGAUAAGUAUCCCAC